RNAcentral lists this non-coding RNA (31 nucleotides) under Mus musculus (house mouse). Lineage: Eukaryota; Metazoa; Chordata; Mammalia; Rodentia; Muridae. The record is from RNAcentral.
UAGACCUAGAACCUUCUGCUUCCGUCUCAUU